RNAcentral lists this ribosomal RNA (433 nucleotides) under uncultured bacterium. Its description in RNAcentral is "partial 16S ribosomal RNA". It matches the Rfam family "Bacterial small subunit ribosomal RNA", at positions 29 to 507 of the family's 1533-position model. The record is from RNAcentral.
AACGAACGCUGGCGGCAUGCCUAACACAUGCAAGUCGAACGAGACCUUCGGGUCUAGUGGCGCACGGGUGCGUAACGCGUGGGAACCUGCCCUUAGGUUCGGAAUAACUCCCCGAAAGGGGUGCUAAUACCGGAUAAUGUCUUCGGACCAAAGAUUUAUCGCCUUUGGAUGGGCCCGCGUUGGAUUAGCUAGUUGGUAGGGUAAAAGCCUACCAAGGCGACGAUCCAUAGCUGGUCUGAGAGGAUGAUCAGCCACACUGGGACUGAGACACGGCCCAGACUCCUACGGGAGGCAGCAGUGGGGAAUAUUGGACAAUGGGCGAAGGCCUGAUCCAGCAAUGCCGCGUGAGUGAUGAAGGCAUUAGGGUUGUAAAGCUCUUUUACCCGGGAUGAUAAUGACAGUACCGGGAGAAUAAGCUCCGGCUAACUCCGUG